AUAACCUGUGCUCGAUUUUUCUGUUGUUAUUGUUUACUGUUUAAAUGUUGUCUGUCAAAACGUUCCAACACCGACAGCCUUGCAAUAACGAUUUUCGCCAUCUCCGUAACAUUUAAAAAUCAUUAAAUUAGAUGUGAAUUGUUCUUGGAAUUCAUAACUGGAACCACUAAUAAUACAGUUCAGUGGUUUAUCUCUAUUAAUUGUUCUUCUUGCGAUGUUAUUUAAUGUCUCCAGUGCAUUUUAUAGGAUGGCUUUGCUGAGAGCAAGUUCAGCCAUCGCGAGUUUAAAGCUUACAGUGAAGGCAGCAGGGUGUUCUCAUCGAGUUCGGAACAAGCAAGGUCAUAUCCGGCGACAUUAGGAGAAUAUCCGACAACAUUAGGAGAAAAGCAAUAUGUGCCAAUCCAGGUAGACCAAAAAAAACUGAAAAUGAGCAGUUUGUCGGAAAGGAUUUAUUCAUCAUCAAACGAAUCGAGGAGAAAAAUAUUGUGCUGGCAGAAUAACAAAAUACCAUAAUCGAAUAUCGCGGCUCUCUACAACACGAUUGCUAUCGAAACGCAGAAAUUAAGCCACCGAAAAGCAGAAGUAACUUCCUGAUCGUUUCCCAUCGGAGGGACUAGAGGCGAUCUCCAGAUGAUCGGCGUUGGAUAUCAAAAAGUUUGAAGCGAUGCCACUGCCUUUACCCAUGCCAAGGAUUAGAAGACCGGUGCCUCAUUCAACAUGGUGACAACAUUACUCAAUGGUUUUCCGAUGCAGCGCAGUAUUUUGGUACCUGUAGAAGCUGAAAAGGUAUGCUUCCGAGGAACUCUGUUAGAAGUUUGCAGUCAGGUGCAAGUCCUAAUCAUCCACAAUCCACAAAAACAAAUCAGGCUGUCCACGAAACCGUUGCUUUACCUUAUCUGCAUCACUCAUCCACCGAAAACCUGCUCUA
Molecule: long non-coding RNA, 928 nt
Organism: Armigeres subalbatus
Lineage: Eukaryota; Metazoa; Arthropoda; Insecta; Diptera; Culicidae
Exons: 3
Source: RefSeq, a predicted model, not a curated record